UCUGACAGCACGCUGGGGCUGCGUUUCCUAAGAGAAGCUGAGCUCUCUCAGUUGUGUGUCCGUCUUAUUGCCGCUCUCGUUGUCUGUGUCGACAGUGAUAAAGAGAGCAGUUCAACCACGGGCCUGUUUUUGGAAUAAGAAAAGCAUUGCUGUUUUCUGACUUUGAGAGAAGAAAGAAGGGACUCCUCUGGAAUUUCCUCAGGAAUUUAUCCGGACAGCUCCGUUACCGGGGCUUUGCAUUCUACCUCCUGGGUAUAGAAUGUGACCAACUAUCCCACACUAGGGAGGUUCUGAGGAGUUCUCUUCUUUCAUCACUCUGGUCCACGGCAGCAAUCGCACAUCUUUAUUCCAAACAGGUGGGGGCAGAGGGGGCGUUCUUUUGGGCGGUGAGUCGGCGAGGAACAAGCACCGGGCAGCAUGUUGGCACCUGCAUGAACCCGACAGAGGAGCCUCACUUCUUGGUGAGUACUCUUUCCUAUCCAACACACUACUCACUCCACAGGCAUGCAGUUUUCCCAUAUUAAACUUAACAUUCGUGGUUGCUAAUUUAGUUAUGAC
RNAcentral lists this long non-coding RNA (558 nucleotides) under Cottoperca gobio. Its description in RNAcentral is "lncRNA (ENSCGOG00000015534.1)". Lineage: Eukaryota; Metazoa; Chordata; Actinopteri; Perciformes; Bovichtidae. The record is from RNAcentral.